This 352-nucleotide ribosomal RNA is filed under the name uncultured bacterium. RNAcentral describes it as "bacterial SSU rRNA". It matches the Rfam family "Bacterial small subunit ribosomal RNA", at positions 1037 to 1390 of the family's 1533-position model. The record is from RNAcentral.
GGUGGUGCAUGGUUGUCGUCAGCUCGUGUCGUGAGAUGUUGGGUUAAGUCCCGCAACGAGCGCAACCCUUAUUGUUAGUUGCCAUCAUUCAGUUGGGCACUCUAGCGAGACUGCCGGUGACAAACCGGAGGAAGGUGGGGAUGACGUCAAAUCAUCAUGCCCCUUAUGACCUGGGCUACACACGUGCUACAAUGGACGAUACAAAGAGUCGCAAACUCGCGAGGGUAAGCUAAUCUCAUAAAAUCGUUCUCAGUUCGGAUUGUAGGCUGCAACUCGCCUACAUGAAGCUGGAAUCGCUAGUAAUCGUAGAUCAGCAUGCUACGGUGAAUACGUUCCCGGGUCUUGUACACAC